CUCCGAGAAGGGUGGUUCCCCGGCCUCCUUGACAUGGCAGCAAAUUUAAGACAAGCCUACAAAUAUACUCUGUUUCAACCGUAGAAGAGUGAGGAUUUAAUUUCAUGAACCUGGUGAGAGUGACCGUAGAAACCUCGUACUUGGGCACCUGAGAAAAAAAGGCCUAAACAAUUAAGUCCAGAUCUUCUUCUUCAGCUUCUUCAGCGAGUCGUGAUUCGACGUUUUUGGAAGCGAAAAAUUAGAAUGCGAGCCGGGAAAUGAAU
This 263-nucleotide unclassified non-coding RNA is filed under the name Hevea brasiliensis (rubber tree). Lineage: Eukaryota; Viridiplantae; Streptophyta; Magnoliopsida; Malpighiales; Euphorbiaceae. The record is from RNAcentral.